This 448-nucleotide ribosomal RNA is filed under the name uncultured bacterium. Its description in RNAcentral is "bacterial SSU rRNA". It matches the Rfam family "Bacterial small subunit ribosomal RNA", at positions 355 to 825 of the family's 1533-position model. The record is from RNAcentral.
UGGGGAAUAUUGCACAAUGGGCGAAAGCCUGAUGCAGCAACGCCGCGUGCGGGAAGAAGGCCCUAGGGUUGUAAACCACUUUCAGCAGGGAAGAAAAUGACGGUACCUGCAGAAGAAGGUGCGGCCAACUACGUGCCAGCAGCCGCGGUGACACGUAGGCACCAAGCGUUGUCCGGAUUUAUUGGGCGUAAAGAGCUCGUAGGCGGUUCAGUAAGUCGGGUGUGAAAACUCUGGGCUCAACCCAGAGACGCCACCCGAUACUGCUGUGACUUGAGUACGGUAGGGGAGUGGGGAAUUCCUGGUGUAGCGGUGAAAUGCGCAGAUAUCAGGAGGAACACCAGUGGCGAAGGCGCCACUCUGGGCCGUAACUGACGCUGAGGAGCGAAAGCGUGGGGAGCAAACAGGAUUAGAUACCCAAGUAGUCCCUGAGCGGGCUGGCAAGGCGCAU